GGACGCGUAGCUCAGCGGAAGAGCACACCCUUCACACGGGUGGGGUCAUAGGUUCAAUCCCUAUCGCGUCCACCA
RNAcentral lists this transfer RNA (75 nucleotides) under bacterium. RNAcentral's name for it is "tRNA-Val". It matches the Rfam family "tRNA". Rfam says of the family: Transfer RNA (tRNA) molecules are approximately 80 nucleotides in length. Their secondary structure includes four short double-helical elements and three loops (D, anti-codon, and T loops). RNAcentral also lists the same sequence under 3 other names. The record is from RNAcentral.